RNAcentral lists this transfer RNA (72 nucleotides) under Cladosporium sphaerospermum UM 843. RNAcentral describes it as "tRNA-Glu (TTC) (tRNA-Glu-TTC-1-1)". It matches the Rfam family "tRNA". From Rfam's summary of the family: Transfer RNA (tRNA) molecules are approximately 80 nucleotides in length. Lineage: Eukaryota; Fungi; Ascomycota; Dothideomycetes; Cladosporiales; Cladosporiaceae. The record is from RNAcentral.
UCCCAUAUGGUGUAGUGGCUAGCAUACCUCGCUUUCACCGAGGAGUCCGGGGUUCAAUUCCCCGUGUGGGAA